GAUAAUUUAUAUUGUAAUAUUUACAAUUAAGUUCCUGAUGCUAAUAGUUAGCAAUUACGUACUAAAUUUGUAACUUUUACAAAUUGAUCCAAAUCAUUAAUUCAAUUGAUAAUUUGAUCUUGAUUCAAUCAAAUGACUUGAUCAAUCUCUUUUAUGUGUGACUCCAUAGGUUUAAUUCUAUCUGAUAGCGAGACAUACCGUGAUCUCUAUCAUAGUAUCAUUGAAACUCCUUUCAAUGGGUUGGAAUAAUUUUAACUCACAUCCAUCAA
This 269-nucleotide long non-coding RNA is filed under the name Elaeis guineensis (African oil palm). Its description in RNAcentral is "long non-coding RNA (EGUI_LNC007156)". The record is from RNAcentral. Lineage: Eukaryota; Viridiplantae; Streptophyta; Magnoliopsida; Arecales; Arecaceae.